Molecule: non-coding RNA, 226 nt
Organism: Cinara cedri
Lineage: Eukaryota; Metazoa; Arthropoda; Insecta; Hemiptera; Aphididae
Source: the annotation of a GenBank genome assembly
AAACGAGAAACCGUCAGAAAAAUUUUAACUGAUGAUUUGUCCAUGAAAAAGCUGUGUGCAAAGAUGGUACCUUCAUCAUGACAAUGCUCCAUGCCAUCGUGCCUUCAGUGUGUCGCGAUUUUUGACAUCUAAGAACAUCGCAAUGUUGCCACAAGCGCCCUAUUCGCCGGAUAUGUCACCCUGCGACUUCUUUUUGUUCCCUCAAACAAAAUUGGCCGUGAAAGGA